ACAAAUAAAAAAGUAGGGGUGGGAGAUGAAAAGAGAACAUUUUGAGGGACUUUAACGUACAUCUAAGCAAAAAUGAGUACCAAAAUGCAAAUAAACAAACUUUUCCCGCUUCCCCCUUCCCGCCGAUAUUUGUCCGAUGAACCGGAGAGCAGAACAAUUCCACUAUUCUGAAGAUGGAAGAGAAUCAGUUGAUGGAUUCAGGAGUUUCUCAGCUGAACUCAAAUGCCUUCUUCAUCGACCCGGUUCGAAUACUCAACCGUUCUUAUACCCGGUUUAGGGUUUCGCCUUCUACGUAUUACUCUCGCUUCUUCGAUUCCUUGAACUCAGCACAAUCUCCAAAAGCUUCCGAAGAUUUUAGAAAACGAAAACGUAAGAGGAAGAAGAAGAUUCAAUCUCUAAACGAGCGCGAACAAAUAGCCGAUCGUCGUCACCAGGAGGUGAAGCCAUUCUUGUUGAAAGCGCAUGAAGCUCUGCUCGAAGCUACUGAUCUUUUGAAAGUUUUGAGAAAUUUGAGGAAUGAUGGAUGUGCCGUGGGGGAAUGUAAGGAGUUGUCGCAAGAAACUAGUGAACUUUCCUUUAUGGAGCUUGGAGGUGUUUGGCAAGCUCCAUUGUAUGAGAUCGUUCUUAAUUAUCAGCAAGAUGAUAAGACUUUGCAAAAUGGAGGUUCUCCGCUUGCUCAGAGUAUUGAACAAAGAGAGACCCCUGUAUUUAAUAAUCUUGUUGCCAAUGAGGGAAGCUAUGAUAUAGAGGCUGAGAUUUUUAAUCACAAGUAUAUUAUUCCCAAAAGGAGUUGUUUUUAUAUGUCUGAUAUGCAGCAGAUUGACAGCUUAAUCCCAGCUGGUUCUGAUUGUGGCUUCAAUCUCAUAGUUAUAGACCCCCCUUGGGAAAAUGGUAGUGCUCGUCAGAAAGUUAGGUAUCCAACUUUGCCUAGCCGAUACUUCUUAUCUCUCCCUGUCAAGCAACUUUGUCAUACGGCUGGAGCACUUGUUGCAUUGUGGGUUACCAACAGGGAGAAGUUGCGAGAUUUUGUGGAAAAUGAUUUAUUUCCCAAAUGGGGAGUAACAUAUGCUGCUAGCUUUUAUUGGUUGAAGGUCAAGGCCAAUGGAAUGUUGACUGGUGAAUUGGAUCUCUUUCAUCACCGACCAUAUGAAUGUCUUCUCCUAGGUUACUGUGAUGGAAAGGAUACACAUUCUGGGAAUUUAACAAGAUCGAAUCCUAUACCAGAUAAUCGAGUGUUCAUUAGUGUUCCUGGUGAUUAUUCAAGGAAACCCCCCAUUGGAGAGCUGCUGCUAGAUUAUGUGCCGGGGUCUAUGCCUGCUCGUUGCAUUGAACUGUUUUCUAGAGAAAUGAUAGCUGGCUGGACUUCUUGGGGGAAUGAACCUCUUCAUUUUCAGGAUUCGAGAUAUUUUGUUAGUAAGACAACAGAAAAUUGAUGUAUCCUGAUAGAAACGCCUCUUACUGGGAAGUUUCAGUCCAAACUAUAGGCAUCCCGACGAUUUCCCGUUAUAUGUGGUUUUCUCCCUCCUGUUUGAAUAUCAGCAAAAGAUUAAGAGAUGUGAUUGUUGUACUUCUAUCAAUUUGCCAAAAGAUUAAAAGAGUAUAGACUUCAAGGGAGUACCUGGUGGCUUGCAAUAUCAGCUGACAUUCUGGAGGAACUUUGGACAAAGUUUAAAUUUCAUUGUGGAUGUGAUUGUUAAUGACUUUGAAACAACUACUGGAAAGGUCAGGACUCUGGUAUUACUUACUGCGAUGUCGAAUCAUUUAUGCUUUAUCUCACUAAUUCAAAGACAGGCAAGAACAUUCACCACAGUAUUUUGGACAAGCAACUCAAAUUCUUUGAAAUGAUGCUAUACAUUUUGAUGUAUAUAGUAAUAUAAGAAUGAAGAUUUCUAAGGUGUUUUCCACA
Molecule: non-coding RNA, 1906 nt
Organism: Solanum lycopersicum (tomato)
Lineage: Eukaryota; Viridiplantae; Streptophyta; Magnoliopsida; Solanales; Solanaceae
Source: RefSeq, a predicted model, not a curated record